Molecule: ribosomal RNA, 278 nt
Filed under: uncultured Lactobacillaceae bacterium
Lineage: Bacteria; Bacillati; Bacillota; Bacilli; Lactobacillales; Lactobacillaceae
Description: partial 16S ribosomal RNA
Rfam family: Bacterial small subunit ribosomal RNA
Source: RNAcentral
UUCAUGAUUCAGACCUUGGUGAGUGGCGGACGGGUGAGUAACACGUGGGUAACCUGCCCAGAAGUGGGGGAGUAACAUUUGGAAACAAGUGCUAAUACCGCAUAACAACUUAGAUCACAUGAUCUUUGUUUUAAAAGAAUUGUUUUGUCUAUCUCUUCUGGAUGGACCCGCGGCGGUAUUAGCUAGUUGGUGAGGUAAUAGCUCACCAAGGCGAUGAUACGUAGCCCGACCUGAGAGGGUAAUCGGCCACAUUGGGACUGAGACACGGCCCAAACUCC